UACGUAGGGUGCAAGCGUUGUCCGGAAUUAUUGGGCGUAAAGAGCUCGUAGGCGGUCUGUCGCGUCUGUCGUGAAAGCCCACGGCUUAACCGUGGGUCUGCGGUGGAUACGGGCAGACUAGAGGCAGGUAGGGGAGAAUGGAAUUCCCGGUGUAGCGGUGAAAUGCGCAGAUAUCGGGAGGAACACCGGUGGCGAAGGCGGUUCUCUGGGCCUGUACUGACGCUGAGGAGCGAAAGCGUGGGGAGCGAACAGG
This 253-nucleotide ribosomal RNA is filed under the name uncultured bacterium. RNAcentral's name for it is "partial 16S ribosomal RNA". It matches the Rfam family "Bacterial small subunit ribosomal RNA", at positions 524 to 776 of the family's 1533-position model. The record is from RNAcentral.